UACGUAGGAGGCGAGCGUUGUCCGGAAUUACUGGGCGUAAAGAGCGCGUAGGCGGCACGGUACGACCGGUGUGAAAGCCCCCGGCUCAACUGGGGAGGGUCACCGGUAACGGCCGAGCUAUGAGUGCAGGAGAGGGAAGUGGAACUCCGGGAGUAGCGGUGAAAUGCGUAGAGACCCGGAGGAACACCAGUGGCGAAGGCGGCUUCCUGGUCUGCAACUGACGCUGAUGCACGAAAGCUGGGGGAGCAAACAGG
This 254-nucleotide ribosomal RNA is filed under the name uncultured bacterium. Its description in RNAcentral is "partial 16S ribosomal RNA". It matches the Rfam family "Bacterial small subunit ribosomal RNA", at positions 524 to 776 of the family's 1533-position model. The record is from RNAcentral.